UGAUACCCUAUUAUUUUAAAUGUAAAGAUUUCUCUUAGUAUUAAUAGAUAUGAUCUUUAAAUUAAAAGAAUUUGACGGUGAUUUUAUCUUUCCAGAGGAACCUGUCCUGUAAUCGAUAAUCCACGAUAAAUGUUACUCCAGUUUUUGUUUGUAUAUCUCUGUUUAAUGAGUGUUUUAUUAGAAUAAUUCUCUUUCAUUUCUGAAGAAACAUAUAUCAGGUCAAGGUGCAAUUAUAUUGGAGGAUGAGAUGGGUUACAUUUAAUUUUUAUUUUUGGAAUGGAUGCUGUAAUUGUGUUUAUGAAAUUGGAUUUGGUUGUAAUGAAUAUUAU
This 329-nucleotide ribosomal RNA is filed under the name Odontoscelis fuliginosa. RNAcentral describes it as "partial 12S ribosomal RNA". The record is from RNAcentral. Lineage: Eukaryota; Metazoa; Arthropoda; Insecta; Hemiptera; Scutelleridae.